AGUGUUAAAGGGCCAAGCGUCCGUGAGACUCUUCGCAGGGACGUGAUGGAGCGUUGCUGACCCGGGGGAGGCGCCUCUGGCGCUGGGUGGAGGCCUGGGAACUCACUGCACGUGUGCCCAGGCCCCUCGGCCCUGCGCGAGUCUCCGCGGCCUUUCAGCCAGGAGAGCCCACGGCUGCCGGGCCCUGUGGGCACCCUCCGGGGUAAGACCGGCCCUGCCAGGCUCUUGUGCCCCUGCGCAGUCGCAGCGCCCGGCCACGCACGUGGGGCCAGGACCCGCCACACUCCCGGGACAGCUGCCUCCAAACCGGCUGCUGCUGCGCGGUGUCAGGCACCAGCUGUAGCUGGUGGGCGCUUUGCAGAGCAGGACGGUCAUUUGCACCGCGUGGGGAUUGCUGGCCAGUCUCCAGUUAUUGCACAGGUCACCAGUCAAUUGUGUAAUCCUUCCUCUACACCCCAUGCCAGCCAGGACAGGAGAAGGAAGUGCUCCCAGGCCUUCCCAGAUGGUGAGGAUUGGCAUCAUGGGAAUUCAUAUGGGAACCAACAAACUUUUUUUUUUUUGCAAAAAAAAAAAUAUGUAGGUAGACAGAUGGUAGGGCUGUGCAACGCUUUGGGUGGUGAUUCAAUUUGGAGAUUUGGCCUGCUUCGGCAGCUGAAUCUUCGAAUCCGAAUCGAAUCAGGAGACCAAUAAAAAGGUCUGAAUCAAUUCGAAGCUCUCUGAAUCGCUUUGGAAAAGAUUCAGAGAGCUUUGGAGAUUUGGGCAGUCACUGCUGCAGGGAGCUGGACCUGGACUCCAUGCGGGCCAAAGCCCUCCCGUCCAGCACUGCAGGGUUCGGCUGUUUUGUGGCAGUUCUGCAGCACUGGGACCCCCUGUUCUCUGCCAUGUGGAGCCAGGGGCAUCCUUGGUUCCUCUCCCUCCACAGGACUGGACUGAGUCAAGUCAGAGGCAGAGCAGGUAUAGGAUCUGCAUACUGAUGCAGCUGUUCACCUUGGAUAUGAUUCCAGAGAUUUGUAAUAAUAAAUAUGUUAGUUCAACA
Molecule: long non-coding RNA, 1036 nt
Organism: Alligator mississippiensis (American alligator)
Lineage: Eukaryota; Metazoa; Chordata; Crocodylia; Alligatoridae
Exons: 3
Source: RefSeq, a predicted model, not a curated record